Triplophysa rosa is the source of this 3007-nucleotide long non-coding RNA. RefSeq lists it as uncharacterized. NCBI's taxonomy places the organism in Eukaryota, Metazoa, Chordata, Actinopteri, Cypriniformes, Nemacheilidae. The record is from RefSeq and is a predicted model, not a curated record. The transcript has 4 exons.
CAGCAAUGGCACUUCAAUGCACUAUUCUGUUGCUCAUCAGUGUCUUUUUCACCAAAGCACUGGCACUAGAUUGUUAUAGAUGUAAACCAGACUCUGAAACUGAAAUAUGCACACCAUACAUAUAUACGUGUGCAUCUGAGUGUAGCUCCAUGACCACAACUGCAUACGCAGGUGAGUUUAAACACAGUCAAAGCCAGAAGUCUUGUGGAGAUCCCUCUUCGUGUCUCACUGGGAGUAUAAAUUAUGGACUAAGCAGAGUGACCAUCAACUCUCAAUGCUGUAACACACGUCUCUGCAACAGUCAAAAUGCACCCGGUGCAUGAGUUUUUCCAUAUUUUCCCAUCAUUUCUCUACAGUUUCAUGACCUUGUUCUACAUCAUUUCAUACAUUAAUUGUUGCAUGUCUCUAUAACCAAUGUGAGGUUUACAGUAAAUACUUUUUUUGCCUUCAUCACUUGUAUAGAUUUGCCACGCAAGUCCCGUAAUGGAAAGACUUGUUUCACCUGUGAUGAUUCAGGCUGCUCAAAGAUUUUGCAUUGUGAAGGUGAUGAGAACCAGUGCUUCACUUUAACAGUUGAGGUGAAUGGCAAGCAGAACACUGAGAAAGGAUGUUCCAGCAACCUGUUCUGUGGGAACUAUGCAUCACGUAUGAAUGAAUCACGUAUAUUGGGCCGAAGUAUAGGUUAUAACAUGAAAUGUUGUGAGGGAAACCUGUGUAACAGCACCCAGAGCAUGAGUGGUUUCUUUCUUCCACUCAUAUCUCUAAUUUUUCUACUUUUCAUCUAACAUGAGAGCUCACGAGAGGGCACGAGUUGUGGUCGCACAGGAGCUGCAUGUCUGUGGACAACAAAUUAUAUAUCUCUAUUCCUCUUUUUUAUUUGUGUCAUUAAGUAACACUGUUUGGUUGCACUGAGUGAUGACUGUAAACCACCCAAGACCAGCCAGGUUUAGAGCAUCUAUAUUUUACUGUAAACUGCAUCUAGUUAGCUUUCCCUGUCUCUAUAUAAAAGAGCAACACAAUGUGCUCUGUUUCAAUUUUACUUAUUUAUACACUGUAAAAAAUCCAACUGGCAAAAUGUUCUCCCUACAAAGAGAAAUAACUUGAACAUAGCAUUUUUAGUUAAAGAGUCAAAUGAUUGUUUUGCAUAUACUGAACAAAAUUAGCCUAAACAUGUUUCUAACAAAAAUUAUUUUGUUGACUGGAAUUAGAUUCUCAAGUUUUAGGCCAAAAUGCGUCAGAAAGUUUGCCCAACUUACAAAACAGUGUAUUCUGAACAAGCAAUAUUGCAAGAGUUUGAAAGUUCCCAAGAUGCAUUGCAGCAUGUUCAAUUCUGUGUUUCUUAUUUGUUUUUAUUUUAAAGAUUAGUGUUUUAGUUCUUGCUGGCUUAAUUUAUGCUUUAAUAUCGUUGAUACUGUUAGUUAUCUGUUGAGUUUAGAGUUCUUUUAAUGAAUGAUGGUUUUUGAUUGUUACCAUGGUUGAGAUUUGUGUGUUCAAUGUUGAGGUGUAAGUGACACAACGUCAAAGCCGAUAUACAAACACUCAACACAAACUGUUUAAACAGUUAUUUGAUCAAAGUUUGGGUUUGUUUGAAGCAGAAAACAUUUACAAACGACAAAUACAUUUGUUGAUUUUUAAAUAACCAAUCUACAGUAUAUUCUCUAUUUAUGUUCAGCGUCCAAAAAAUAUUUUGUUCUGUUUUUUUGUUAGGUAAACAUGAGUAUUUAUGUUUUGACAACUUGUUUUAUUAACAAAAUAUUUUGAGUUGUGUGGACUUCAGACCACAUUAGUUGAGAAAACUCAUAAAUGUGCUUGUGAUCGGUUGCCUUAUUAUUUUAAGUUUUGUCAACUUUUUUUACAGUAUACAGUUGAUAAAGCAAGUGUAGUUGUAGAAUUUAGCUUAUUAAGAAAAAUCUACCUUUUUUAAUUCACCCAUAAAUUAAAAUUCUGUCAUCAAUAACUCACAUUCGUAUUGUUCCAGAUCUGUAUACAUUUCUUUGUUCUGAUGAACAUAGUAUUUGGAAGAAUGCUUAUAACCAAACGGUUCUAGUAGGAAAAAUUACUUUAUAAUUAUAAUUUGAACACAAAAGAAGAUAUUUUGAAGAAUGUAGGACAGCAAACAGUUCUGGGGCACUUUUGACUACUAAUGUAAUUUUUCCUACUAUGGUAGGAAUUUGCUAUUUGUGAUAUUUUAUGAACCAUAACGUUUUUAUCUACAUUUAACUUUCGCAUUAUUGAUCAGCAUGUAAACAUUUGUGACCCUGUGAAAACCCAGGCUAAAGUCUCAUAAACAAAUUAAUUAUUAGAUAACAAGCAUCAAAGAUUAAUUUCAAGCAUUACUUUCACUAAGAUUUCAAUAUUUAAAAUGGCAUGAUUCAGUCAAUAUUGAAGAUAUUGUUGUUAUAUUUUCACAGAAUAUUCUGUAGGAUGACUUAAAGUAGAAAACAGUAAAAAGACUGGGUUUUCACAAGCAGAGUCACAUUUGGUAAUGAACAACGUUCUAAUUGGGAAAUUAUUUAAAGAUAGAAGUAGGUCUGGUAUGAAUGGCAUGGAAAGGCGAUUUAGUAAAUAACUUUGUUUUCUGUUUGUGAUGAGAGCAUUUUAAUUGUUAUACAUUUGCUGUUUGUACGUUGUCAGUAGUUUUUUUUAUUUACAAAUAUUAAUUAUCAGACUUCUAUUAAGAGGGCAUUCCCUUUAAGCCAUAGAGCCUACAAUACAUACAUGUGGAUAUCAAAAUUUUAAGUAAAUGGCCUGAUAAAAGAUCAUAUCUUAUAUUCAACUGGCUAAAUUGAUUAAAUAUUUCUUUAUUUUCAAAAAACAUAUUGUCCGGACCUCCGUUUAGAAGAAAACAUAAAGACCAGACCUCUUGGAACUUUAAUUGAAUACCCCUGCUAUACAACUAUAAAGUAUUCUGUUAUAUUUGUAAUAUUGGGAGCGGGUGAACUGUCAGAUUCUUUUUCUGUUGAGGUCAGCACAGUUUUGCAUGUAUGAGCCCAUGUUGCUUGUGAUU